UGAAAUAAAACAAAAAAAUCAACAAGAAAAAUAACAGCACCACCCCAAAACUCAGUGUGGGUGCUUCCCAAAGCUGCACGCCCAGUAGAGGAGGAUGACCUCCCUCAAAACAGAAGGACAUGUCUAAUUAGGUCAAGGGUAUAGGAAGAGCUGUGGUUUUCUGCUAGAGCCUCAUAACAAGCUCUCAGGGGAUUUGCAUUAUUUUAUAGCAGUAAAGACACAGUGAUUCUGUAU
Rattus norvegicus (Norway rat) is the source of this 234-nucleotide non-coding RNA. NCBI's taxonomy places the organism in Eukaryota, Metazoa, Chordata, Mammalia, Rodentia, Muridae. The record is from Rfam.